AACAUUACUGGGGGCGGGGGGUGGGGUGGUGAGGCCUGGAACUCCCUGUAGCCACGUGCUCCUUUGUGCCUGAGGCCAGGCCCCUCAAGCUGCAUGUGGCUCUUUGGCAGUUCCAGCCAGGUGCUGGCAAGAUUAAUUUUUCAUCCCUUAAAGUUGAGAACUCAGAUUUUAUGUGACACCCACAGAUUUUUAAGCCUUGACGAUUAAUUCAAGUAUUUAAAAACAAAUACUGCAGAUCUGUUGUCAGUGUCUGGGAGCUGUCCUGGUCUGAGAGCUGUCCUGGUCUGCGACCCACGAGUUAGCUCACAGACUUGUUCUAGAGCCCAGCAUAUCAUCUUGUGCUCAGUGGUGGGCACCCCAGCAGUUGCUCAGUGGGAAGCUAGCCCCACAGGAAGUCCGAUUUUUCUGAGGUGACCGUCUUGGAAUGACCCGGUGUACAUCCUCCCCUUGGCAGUCCCAGCUGAGUGUAGCCUCCCAGGCAUCUGUCAUGGUACCAGAUCUGUGAACGAAGCUGACUCUCCAGACUAGCCCAUCUGCCUGUGGACAACCCCCAAGUGUACUUGCUUUAUGCCAUAAAGAACCUAAGAAUUAUGCCGCUGAGCCUUGUGUGAAUUCCUGACCCACGAAAUUGAGAGACAUAAUAAAAUGGUUGUCGUAUUAAGCUACUAA
Molecule: long non-coding RNA, 669 nt
Organism: Canis lupus familiaris (dog)
Lineage: Eukaryota; Metazoa; Chordata; Mammalia; Carnivora; Canidae
Exons: 2
Source: RefSeq, a predicted model, not a curated record